RNAcentral lists this ribosomal RNA (164 nucleotides) under Impatiens aff. elatostemmoides SJ-2018. Its description in RNAcentral is "5.8S ribosomal RNA". It matches the Rfam family "5.8S ribosomal RNA". Rfam says of the family: 5.8S ribosomal RNA (5.8S rRNA) is a component of the large subunit of the eukaryotic ribosome. It is transcribed by RNA polymerase I as part of the 45S precursor that also contains 18S and 28S rRNA. Functionally, it is thought that 5.8S rRNA may be involved in ribosome translocation. The record is from RNAcentral. Lineage: Eukaryota; Viridiplantae; Streptophyta; Magnoliopsida; Ericales; Balsaminaceae.
AAAAUGACUCUCGACAACGGAUAUCUCGGCUCUCGCAUCGAUGAAGAACGUAGCAAAAUGCGAUACUUGGUGUGAAUUGCAGAAUCCCGUGAACCAUCGAGUUUUUGAACGCAAGUGGCGCCUGAAGCUAUUAGGUUGAAGGCACGUCUGCCUGGGCGUCUCGC